Vitis vinifera (wine grape) is the source of this 530-nucleotide long non-coding RNA. RefSeq lists it as uncharacterized. NCBI's taxonomy places the organism in Eukaryota, Viridiplantae, Streptophyta, Magnoliopsida, Vitales, Vitaceae. The record is from RefSeq and is a predicted model, not a curated record. The transcript has 2 exons.
UAGUCGUUGUCUAUUCUAGAAUAUUCAAUGCAGCAGAAUUGUAUAGGGAUUGCAACAUCAUAAAAACAAUGUUUGAUCAAUGCUGAGAAGUAAGCAAACUUCAUUUUUUGAUAAUAUUUUACUCCAUACAUACUUGAACUGAAAACCUAACAUGAGGUAUUGUCAAAAUAACAUCGAUCUUAAUCUGGCGAUAAUAAAGAUUAAAAGCAUAUGAGGCAGACAUGCGCUAACAGAUGCAUGAAACUCAUGGGCUGCUAGGUAGAGGUGGUGGUGGUGAGGGAGGAGGCACAUAAAAUUGAUGCGGCUUCCCAGGCUGAGGAGGAGGCUUCCACAUGGGACUCCCAACUCGAUCUGGGUAUACCUUCAUUUGCUUCAACAAUCGAUUUGAAGCAGCGGGCACAAAAUCCAUAUCAGAAGCAGCUUCUAAGGGUCGUGCCAUCGCCACGUAGCUCUUACCUGUGUGACUGAUCUGCAACACCACACUAUGAAUUAAUAUAACUAAAAGCAAGAAAAGAGCAUUCAUUGCAGUC